UUCCUGCAGGGUGCAUGGGCUCACACAGGUUGUAGAUCUCCUGUGCACCUCCAUACACUUGUGUGAACAGCCAGGGCUGCCCCUGGAAGGAAGGAGAACAGGGCAAUUCAAUCAGAGAGGCCACCAUGACAGUUGUGCUGUUGGCAUGUUUCACAGGACCCUUAGGAUAGUGUUAAAGACAGAAGUUUUUCAAUUAAAUUUCAAUUAUUCUUGGAAAAGAGGAAGGAUUUUCAGAAUUUUAAGCUGGAAAGUGACAUGGUCAGGUUUGCAUUGUAGAAGGAGCAAACCACUCUGUGGAGAAUAGACUAGAGGGGGUGAGACCAGAGGUAGGAAUUCUAGUGGGAAGGUCAGAACUAGACCAGUAGGCUUCACCCUCCCACGUCCACAUGCUGGCCACAGCCUCCUCAUGAGAGAGUGUACUCACCUAGGCCUGGCCUUUGGGCUUGGUCUUGUGACUUACUUUGGUCAAUGGAAUGGGGCAGAAGUGACUGGAUACCAAUUCUGAGACUUGACCUUAAGAAGCCUCACAUGUUUCUGCUUGCCCUGCUGUAUCUCUGCCAUCACCAGGAAGAGGAUGUGCCAGGUAGCCCGCUGACCCUGGAGGACGAGAGACGUGUGGAGCAGAGCCACUCUUCCUACUUGCAGACUCACAAGCCAGCCCAGCUGAGGCCAGCCAGGCUGCAGAGCCACGAGGAAGCACUGCCUGCUGCUGUAAGCUGCUUGUUAGGCAGCAUCGCUGUGGCAGCCGGUAGCUGAUACAGUGAGACGCGAGGAGUGACCAAGCCGAGGAGCACUGAGGAGAGCAGAUGGAGUUAGUGGUCAGCUGGGUGUGUGGGUCUCAGAUCGAAAGUCACCUCUUCAAGGAGACCUUCACUGACCACCCGGAAUGAAGUCCCCCACCUGCAUCCUUUCUACCAACUCACCUGCCUGACUUCCUUCACCUCACUCACAACUGUCCUCUGGCAGAACUCCAGGAGAGUCUCCAGCUCAGGGCUUGGCCGAGCAAGGAUGGGCCACAUGAGCCAGCCCAGCAGCAGACUGGCACAUGCUGUGUUGGCAGCAUCUUCGUUGCUCACUCAGGAGCCCCAGGACUCAGGCUUGCCCUUCCCUUCCUUCCCCAAACGCUUUCUGAGCACUGCACUGAAUGCAGUGGGGCCGCCUUUGGAGCACAGGAGCCCAGCUACACUCCACCUUGUGAC
Vicugna pacos (alpaca) is the source of this 1199-nucleotide non-coding RNA. The record is from RefSeq and is a predicted model, not a curated record. NCBI's taxonomy places the organism in Eukaryota, Metazoa, Chordata, Mammalia, Artiodactyla, Camelidae.